This 395-nucleotide ribosomal RNA is filed under the name uncultured bacterium. RNAcentral's name for it is "partial 16S ribosomal RNA". It matches the Rfam family "Bacterial small subunit ribosomal RNA", at positions 523 to 918 of the family's 1533-position model. The record is from RNAcentral.
AUACGUAGGGUGCGAGCGUUAAUCGGAAUUACUGGGCGUAAAGCGUGCGCAGGCGGUUUUGUAAGACAGUGGUGAAAUCCCCGGGCUCAACCUGGGAAAUGGCAUUGUGACGGCAAGGCUGGAGUGCGGGCGAGGGGGGUGGAAUUCCGCCGGUCGCAGCGAAAUGCGUAGAUAUGCGGAGGAACACCGAUGGCGAAGGCAAUCCCCUGGGCCUGCACUGACGCUCAUGCACGAAAGCGUGGGGAGCAAACAGGAUUAGAUACCCUGGUAGUCCACGCCCUAAACGAUGUCAACUGGUUGUUGGGAAUUUAUUUUCUCAGUAACGAAGCUAACGCGUGAAGUUGACCGCCUGGGGAGUACGGCCGCAAGGUUAAAACUCAAAUGAAUUGACGGGG